GCUAGCGUAGCUUAAUUUAAAGCAUAACGCUGAAGACGUUAAGACUGGGCCCUAAGAAGCUCCGCCAGCA
This 70-nucleotide transfer RNA is filed under the name Gerres erythrourus. Its description in RNAcentral is "tRNA-Phe". It matches the Rfam family "tRNA". From Rfam's summary of the family: Transfer RNA (tRNA) molecules are approximately 80 nucleotides in length. Their secondary structure includes four short double-helical elements and three loops (D, anti-codon, and T loops). The record is from RNAcentral. RNAcentral also lists the same sequence under 1 other name. Lineage: Eukaryota; Metazoa; Chordata; Actinopteri; Gerreiformes; Gerreidae.